UACAGAGGGUGCAAGCGUUAUCCGGAAUUAUUGGGCGUAAAGAGCUCGUAGGCGGUUUGUCGCGUCUGCCGUGAAAGUCCGGGGCUCAACUCCGGAUCUGCGGUGGGUACGGGCAGACUAGAGUGAUGUAGGGGAGACUGGAAUUCCUGGUGUAGCGGUGAAAUGCGCAGAUAUCAGGAGGAACACCGAUGGCGAAGGCAGGUCUCUGGGCAUUAACUGACGCUGAGGAGCGAAAGCAUGGGGAGCGAACAGG
RNAcentral lists this ribosomal RNA (253 nucleotides) under uncultured bacterium. Its description in RNAcentral is "partial 16S ribosomal RNA". It matches the Rfam family "Bacterial small subunit ribosomal RNA", at positions 524 to 776 of the family's 1533-position model. The record is from RNAcentral.